Molecule: ribosomal RNA, 465 nt
Filed under: uncultured bacterium
Lineage: Bacteria
Description: partial 16S ribosomal RNA
Rfam family: Bacterial small subunit ribosomal RNA
Source: RNAcentral
GACGAACGCUGGCGGCGUGCUUAACACAUGCAAGUCGAACGGAAAGGCCCCUUUGGGGGUACUCGAGUGGCGAACGGUGGAGUAACACGUGGGUAACCUGCCCUUGACUUCUUGAUAACUUCAGGAAACUGGGGCUAAUACCGGAUAGGAAUCCUUGCUGCAUGGGGGGGGUUGGAAAGCUUCUGUGGGUUUGGAUGGACUCGCGGCUUAUCAGCUUGUUGGUGGGGUAGUGGCUUACCAAGGCUUUGACGGGUAGCCGGCCUGAGAGGGCGACAGGCCACACUGGGACUGAGAUACGGCCCAGACUCCUACGGGAGGCAGAAGUGGGGAAUAUUGCACAAUGGGCGGAAGCCUGAUGCAGCAACGCCGCGGGCGGGAGGACGGCCUUCGGGUUGUAAAACGCUUUCAGCAGGGGCGAAGCUUGUGGUGACGGUACCUGCAGAAGAAGCACCGGCUAACUACGUG